RNAcentral lists this ribosomal RNA (494 nucleotides) under uncultured bacterium. Its description in RNAcentral is "partial 16S ribosomal RNA". It matches the Rfam family "Bacterial small subunit ribosomal RNA", at positions 31 to 507 of the family's 1533-position model. The record is from RNAcentral.
GAACGCUGGCGGCGUGCCUAAUACAUGCAAGUCGAGCGAACAGACGAGGAGCUUGCUCCUCUGACGUUAGCGGCGGACGGGUGAGUAACACGUGGAUAACCUACCUAUAAGACUGGGAUAACUUCGGGAAACCGGAGCUAAUACCGGAUAACAUGUUGAACCGCAUGGUUCAACAGUGAAAGACGGUCUUGCUGUCACUUAUAGAUGGAUCCGCGCCGCAUUAGCUAGUUGGUAAGGUAACGGCUUACCAAGGCAACGAUGCGUAGCCGACCUGAGAGGGUGAUCGGCCACACUGGAACUGAGACACGGUCCAGACUCCUACGGGAGGCAGCAGUAGGGAAUCUUCCGCAAUGGGCGAAAGCCUGACGGAGCAACGCCGCGUGAGUGAAGAAGGUCUUCGGAUCGUAAAACUCUGUUAUUAGGGAAGAACAAAUGUGUAAGUAACUAUGCACGUCUUGACGGUACCUAAUCAGAAAGCCACGGCUAACUACGUG